Molecule: long non-coding RNA, 509 nt
Organism: Passer domesticus (house sparrow)
Lineage: Eukaryota; Metazoa; Chordata; Aves; Passeriformes; Passeridae
Exons: 2
Source: RefSeq, a predicted model, not a curated record
CCACCCCCACCCCCUCUCAGCGAGUUCUCAACAUCAUCAACCCAAGUACAACACCCUGGGCAGGAGUCCCUGGGACUCUUCUGACAAAGUGGGAAGCCCAAGCCACCCUGAUGGUCACACCCUGGCUGGGCGGGUGUGAGCAAGGAGGAUGUCAGCAGGAUGGAUGCAUACACUGUGUUCAGUUUCUCUUGCCGAGGUGGUGGGGACCUGAAGUCCCAAGUGGAGGGAACACAGAAUUCUACAAUCAUCAUCCCUGGCUGGCUGCUGGUGCUUAAGGCAAUCCCGUCCCAGAGGAACUUAUGCCAAGGGAAGUAGAAGAAGGAAUCUUCUCUGACACAUUAUUCCAGUUGUGCUGGAAUAAUGUCUACUGAAUGGACUUGGAGAAAAAAAACCAGUGAAACAGCCUGUUGUGGAUAUGGUAGAAAUUACUCAGAAUUUCUGUGGCUUUAUUAACAGGACUGGGAAAACACAGAAAUUCGUUCCUGUAAAAUAAAAGUCUAAAAUCCUGA